GACGAACGCUGGCGGCGUGCUUAACACAUGCAAGUCGAACGGAAAGGCCCUGCUUUUGUGGGGUGCUCGAGUGGCGAACGGGUGAGUAACACGUGAGUAACCUGCCCUUGACUUUGGGAUAACUUCAGGAAACUGGGGCGAAUACCGGAUAGGAGCUCCUGCUGCAUGGUGGGGGUUGGAAAGUUUCGGCGGUUGGGGAUGGACUCGCGGCUUAUCAGCUUGUUGGUGGGGUAGUGGCUUACCAAGGCUUUGACGGGUAGCCGGCCUGGGAGGGUGACCGGCCACAUUGGGACUGAGAUACGGACCAGAAUCGUACGGGAGGCAGCAGUGGGGAAUAUUGCACAAUGGGCGGAAGCCUGAGGCAGCAACGCCGCGUGCGGGAUGACGGCCUUCGGGUUGUAAACCGCUUUCGCAUGUGACGAAGCGUGAGUGACGGUAAUGGGUAAAGAAGCACCGGCUAACUACGUG
RNAcentral lists this ribosomal RNA (468 nucleotides) under uncultured bacterium. Its description in RNAcentral is "partial 16S ribosomal RNA". It matches the Rfam family "Bacterial small subunit ribosomal RNA", at positions 28 to 507 of the family's 1533-position model. The record is from RNAcentral.